Molecule: small nuclear RNA, 103 nt
Organism: Manis javanica (Malayan pangolin)
Lineage: Eukaryota; Metazoa; Chordata; Mammalia; Pholidota; Manidae
Source: RefSeq, a predicted model, not a curated record
GAGCUUUGGCAGCACGUAUAGUAAAAUCAGAAUGAUACAGAGAAGAGUAUCACAGCUGCUGUGUAAGGACGGCAUGCAGGUUUAUGAAGUCUUCCAUAUCCUU